This 3821-nucleotide unclassified non-coding RNA is filed under the name Leishmania donovani. RNAcentral describes it as "gene:LdHU3.33.4850(CDS-product:beta_prime_cop_pro tein_putative)". The record is from RNAcentral. Lineage: Eukaryota; Euglenozoa; Kinetoplastea; Trypanosomatida; Trypanosomatidae.
UGCACUUCAUAGCUUUUCCUUUUCUCUGUCUCUUUUUUUCCUCUCGUCCACCACAUUCGCAUCGACUGCGGUAGCAGGCGGGAGAGUCACAAGUGCUGCUGUGUCUGUGAAGGAGACACCACAUACCACAAACAAGAGGUCGAAAGGAAAAACAGAGGACACGAUUUGUACUCGCAAGCACACGGUACGUCCCCGCCAGUGCAGAAGCGCCAAGAUGUCAGCCGGCACCGCCGCCACGGUGGAAUUCACCGCCUCCAGCCAACGCGUGAAGAUGGUGGACAUGCACCCCAAGGAGCCCAUCUUUAUUGCAGCCCUGUAUUCCGGUGGAAUCAACCUGUACAACUACCAGACGCAGGCGCUCGUCCGCUCCUUCGACACAGGCACGGGUCUUCCAGUGCGCUGUGUCCGCUUUAUCCCGCGCCUGCAGAGCUUUGUGUGCGGCUGUGAUGACAUGAACCUGCGUGUGUUCAACUACAACACGAUGGAGCGGACGAAGAUAUUCCAAGCCCACGACGACUACAUCCGCUGCGUCGCUGUUCACGAGCAGCUGCCGCUGGUGCUGACGUGCGCGGAUGACAUGACUAUUCGGCAGUGGGACUGGAGCAAGGGGUGGACGCUGCAGAUGACUUACGAGGGGCACCAGCACUUCUGCAUGGCCGUCGCUUUCAAUCCUAAGGACUCCUCCACGUUUGCCUCCGCCUCGAUGGACUGCACCAUCAAGGUGUGGCGCAUCCACAUUCCGACGCCGAAUUACCAACUCGAGGGCCACGAGGAUGGCGUGAACUGCGUCGAGUUCUACCCUCGCGGUGACAAGCCGUACCUACUGAGCGGAUCCGACGACAGGACGGUGCGUUUGUGGGACUACCAAACCAAAGCCUGCCUACAGGUCUUCUCCUUUCACGAGGACAACGUCGCGAGUGUGCUUUUCCACCCGGACCUCCCAGUGAUCUACUCCAUCUCCGAGUCGGACAGCAUUGCCGCCUUCUCCACGGAGACGUUCCGUCUGCUGUACUCGUGCAACCACUCCGACAUGGGGCGCGGGUGGUCGUUGGCAACGAAGCGCCACUCGAACAUGCUCAUUGCCGGCUUUGACAACGGCGUGCGGGCCUACAAGGUCGGCGCGGACAAGCCCGUCUUCUCCAUGGACACCAACGGUCGCGUCUUGGUCGCGACCGGGAACGAGAUUACGCGCAUGGACAUCAAGGCCAUAGGGCCGGAGACGCCCGACGGCGAGGUGCUGAACGUUGCGACGAAGGACAUGGGCACCGUCGAGGCGACGGCCCGCUCUAUCGUUCACGCCGGAAACGGCCAGUUCAUCUGCGUUCUCGGUGACGACAACUACACCAUCAUAUCGUCCCUCUCGCUGCGUCCCAAGUCGUACGGGCAGUGUGUUUCAUUUGUCUGGGGUCCUGAGAGCGGCGCCUACGCCGUGCUGGAGGGCUCGACGACGCUGAAGGUUUACAAGGGUUUCAAGGUGCGCGUCGCACUUUCGCUGCCAGAGGUGGCCAAUAAGCUGUUUGGCGGGCCUCUGCUAGCGGUGCGCACGAGCAGCAGCGUCAUGUUCUACGACUGGGGCACGCUGGCACUGAUCCGGCAGAUCGAUGAGACCCCGGCAGCGCUCGAGUGGAACUCGACGGGUGAGCUCGUGGCGCUCGUCACGAGCAGCAGUGUCUUCCUUCUCAAGUUCAACGGGGACGCUGUAGCGCAGUACCUCGAGCAAAACACCACCACCGGCGAUGACGGCCUCGACUUCUCGUUCGACCUUGUGGAGGAGCUGGAUGAAAAGGUGCGCGACGUGGCGUGGGUGGGGGACUGCCUUGUCUACAUCAAUCAAGUGCAUCGGCUCAACUACUACAUUGGCGGCGAGGUAAACAACAUCGCGGUGCUGAACCGUCACCAGUACCUCCUCGGCUACCUGCCAAAGGAAAACCGUCUCUUCUGCAUAGACAAGGAAAAGAGCAUCACGAGCUACCUCCUUCAGGUGAAUGCCAUCGAGUACAUGGCUGCCAUCGUGCGCGAGGACUUUGAUGCCGCCAACACACUUCUCCCCACCAUCGAUGUGAGCCUGCGUGACAAACUGUCGCGGUUUGUCGAGUCGCGCGGGCUGCUGCAGAUGGCGCUGGAGAUCGCCAUGGAUGACGAGCGCCGCUUCGACCUGGCGGUCCAGCUGAAGCAACUGUCGUUGGCGCACAAGAUCGCCAGCGCGGCGAACGUCGCGUCGCACUGGAAGCAGGUGGGUGACAUUGCACUGGAGCAGGGCUACUUUGAGAUGGCAAUCGAGUCGCUGGAGAAGUGCAACGACUGGAGCGGGCUGCUGCUCAUCUACACGUCCCUCAACGACAUGGAGGCGAUCUCGCGCCUUGGCGACCGCUGUCUGCAAAGCGGACAGGCCAACUUGGCCUUCACCUGCUACCACCUCACCCAACGCCAUGCCGAGUGUGUGGAGCUGCUGCAGAAGACCGGCAAAACAGGCGACGCCGCUUUCUACGCACGCACCUACUGCCCGAGCCUCAUCGAGGACGCCGUGGCUAAGUGGAGGGUGUCGGUCGCCUCGAUACCUCGCGUCAGCCAAGCGCUCGCCAGCCCGGCAGCCUACCCGAACCUGUUUCCGUCACUGCGCAAUGUGGACUUGCCGCCUCCAAACGGACCGGAGGUUGGCGCCCCUCUGAACGCACAGCCGGCACCUCCCGGUGCAUCCACGUCGCUCCACGGCUCAUGCACCGCACCAACUGUUGCCGACUUGUUCCAGCCGGCGGCAGAGGCACCCCAGCAGCCUAUGCACGCCCCGCCGUUCCCCGACAAUGUGGGCAGCGAGCUCACCGGGAUGCAGGAGCUGGCGGACGAAGAGGAAGCAUGGGGAGAAGAUUAGAAGCGAACAACGUGUCCAAAGGAUUAGUUGGGAGGUGAGAGGGGAAGGUGGUGGGGGGGGGCUCGACACAACGUUGAACUCCGCGAGCACCCUCGUUCCGUGCUGUAUCUUUUCUCACGCUGUUUCGCGGACGCGCUUCAGAGCGCAGGCACCUGCGCGAAGGGGUUUCCCUGCUGCGUGUGUGUGUGUGUAAGGAUGUCACAGCGGUAUCGCCGCCUCUCUUCUCCCCCCUCCCUCUCGUCCGUGAUGCUGGGCGACGGUCCUGCAGUGGUGUGCGUGAGAUUGUCUGCGUGUCUGUCAGUCGUCUCCAGAGUCGCAAUGAUGUUUGCUCAUUCUGUUCCCGUUUACUGUUGCGUAUUGAUCGGACGGGGGUGGCUUCUACCUUUCCUCGUCGCUUGGCACGCGUGAGAGAAUAUUUUCCUCGUAUGGCAGGUGCCUGCGUCGGGGGGGGGUGAAGGGGGAAGAGAGAGGGCGGUGGUUGUGAGUGUAUGUGAGUGCGUGUUGGUUCAGUGUUCUAGUGUAGAAAUGGGCUUUCGUAUCGCGAAACCCCAAAACCGACGUCAGCGGCGCGAGCGACGUUUGUCGCUGAGGAAUGCGAGGCCGUACGUCACGGACGUGAUGGCAAGUUGUGCUGUGGUGCGGGACAAUUCAAGCCAAAGGAUGUCUUGACGAGCGGGGAACGGGAUUGCCUGCGCAUGACGUUCUGUUCGCGGAUGUGCUUGUCGACGAUUGCACAGUUUCUGGCGCCACCUCUGUCUCGAUGUACGUGUUCGCUGUAUGAUUCCAUGGCUUCAUACGCGCAUUCAACUGCUCCGCCUCUCCCGCUGCGUGUCUCCAUUUUUAUUGUAAUCUGAGGUUGCCUAUAUUGGCGCUGUUACCGCGGUCGCCAUGCUGUCUGUUCUAUCGCGUUGGCGUGAGUGUCAUGUUUUUUUCUUUUUUUUCACGGCUGGAG